Molecule: long non-coding RNA, 3008 nt
Filed under: Homo sapiens (human)
Lineage: Eukaryota; Metazoa; Chordata; Mammalia; Primates; Hominidae
Description: HSALNT0204882
Source: RNAcentral
CCAGAAUACAACAUAAGGCAGAGUAAGGAAUAAUUCACUCUCUGAAUGACUGUUUUCAAGCUGGGACAUGGGUCUCCUGCCUUCAGACUUGGUCUCAGAUAGAACUUAACCUUCAAUUCUUCUGGUUUUUGGACUGAGAAUAGGAUUGGGGCUUAAACCAUCAGCUUUCCUGGUUCUCGGGUCUUUGGAUCCUGAUUGGAAUGAUAUCAUUGGCUUUCCAGAGUCUUUAGCUUGCUGACUGCAUAUCUUGGAACUUCUCAGCUUUCAUAAUCAAUUACAGUUGAAUAUGAGGAGAUUGCAAGAGGACAACUCGGCUCUAAAAUCGAUGCAUUAACAUGUCAUUGGAAUUGACCUUGCCAAAAGAUGCCUCCCUAAAUCCACAAGAAUCUCCUUGUUUGAACACAGUUUCUAAUCCAGCUGUAAUGAAGACAGACAACAGUCAAAUUAACAACUGAUCAGGAGGAGAAGUUCAUACUCCUUGAGCUGGAUCUAUCUGCACAUGCACCUGGCCCAGGAAGCUGAAAUGGGAGAUCUGAUGAGCAGUGGAGGACUGAACCAAAGCCCUUGGCUUUUGCUCCAUACCAGUCAGAGUCUCAUCAGGAUAUCAUGUUGCAUUGAGUAGUCAUGUCUCCACAGGCUUUUCUUGGCUGCGACUCUUACUCACGUUUUCCUUGGUUUUGCCCACCUUACAGUUUACAGUAGUGGUCAGGUAUUUUGUAGUAUGUCCCUCACUUGGGCUUUGCUUGAUGCUUAUCUCCUGAGAAAACUAGGGAUAUGUAUUUUGGGGAGGAAGGCCACAGAGAUGAAGUGACAUUCUUUUCACAUCAUAUCAAUGCUACAUACUAUCAAAAGGGCUUAUCACUGUUGAUGUUAAUUUUAAUCACCUGGCUAAGAUAUUCUUUUUCAGGAUUUUGACUUUAAAGUUACCCUUUAUGCUUUUCCUUCUCAUAAAGUGCUCUUUGAAAUGAAGUCACUCUGUGCAGCAGACAUUUAAAAAGCAGGAAAUUAUGGUGACAGAGUAUCUGUAUAAAUUAUUUGCAGUUCUUUUAUUUUCAGAGUUUGGAAUUAUAGCACUCCUAUAAAUCUUAUUACUAAUGGUGCCACAAAUUGUGUACUACUGAUAUGUAUUAGUGCACAACUUAAAGCAUGUGGACAUGAGCUGUAUUUGAAAAAACAUUCAGAUGGAAGAGCUACCUGAUUUGAAGUGAAUCUUAAUUGGAACUUAAUGAUGCCUCCUAGUAAUUUACUAUUUUAGCUGAACCUACAGUAUCAGCUGUAGCCCAGAAAAUAUAAGAGCUACAAUUCGUACAAUUCAACAUCAGCUGCCAAGGCCCACCUGGACUGCACCUGCAAAACCAGCUGUGGUUUCUUUGCUCUCACAAUUCAUGUCAGUGUUUUUCAGCCAAUGCAUCACUGGUUUCGAAUUUUAUACUGUUCCUCUCUCAGUCCUCCACCCCUCUAGUUUCUAAAUGAUAGAGAAUAAUUAGGUGAGGUUUAAACUCUCAGGAUUAUUCAGGGUUUGUGGAGAGUAGGAAGGUUUCUUCCAGGUUACAGCACAAUUUAAGGAGCCUGGCAAGAAGCAUCCAAUAUUAGCAAGUAGAAAAGCAGCAUAAGUAUGAGGUUGGAACUUCCCACGAUACUUAGUACAUGGAAAAAAAUGUAGAACAUACCAAAAAAAAAGCAAAUUGUAAAAAAAUUUCACAAAUAAAAAUACUGUUAUGAAAAUUAUAAUUCACAUUUUUAAUAUUUUUUAUUGUAAAAUGUAUAAAAUUUGCCAUUUAACCUCUUAAGUGUACAAUUCAGUGGCAUUAAUUGUAUUUACAGUUUUGUGCAACAAUCACCACUAUUUUCAAAAAUUUUCAUCAAUCCAAACAGAAACUCUGGCAAUUAGUAACAACUCCCCAUUUUUUAUUCCUAAUCCAUCCCCUAGUAAACUCUAAAUCUUGUCUCUGUGAAUCUCCCUGUUCUAAAUAUUUGUAUAAGAGGAAUCAUACAACAUUGACCCUUUUGUGUCUGGCUAAUUUCACUUUGCAUAAUGUUUAAAAGCUUCAUCCAUAUAGUGACAUGUAUGAGAACUUCAUUUCUUUUUUAUGGCUCAAUUAUAUUCCACAGUAUGCACACACACCCCAUUUUGUUUAUCCAUUCAUCUGUUGAUAGACACACGUGGGUUAUUUCCUCCUUUUGGCUGUUAUGAAUAAUGCUGCUAUAAACACUAGUGUGCAUUUAUCUGAAUUCAUGUUUUACAUUCAUUGGGAUACCAAAUUAAAAUGCUGGGUCAUAUGGUAAUUCUGUUUAACAUUUUAAGGUAUCACCAAACUGUCUUCCACAGCAGCUGCAUCAUUUUAAAUGCAGACCAACAAAGUAUGAUUCUCCAAAUUUCCCAGUUACUCGUCAACUCUUGUUCUACAUUUUCUAACUAUAGUGAUACUAGUAGGUAUAACAUUAUGUCAUUGUGAUUUUGAUUUGCAAUGGCCUAAAAACUAAUGGUUUUUUAAUAACUUUCAUGUUGUACUCAUUGGCCAUUUGCAUAUCUUUAGCAAAAUGUCUAUUCAAAUCCUUUGCCUGUUUUUAAUUGGGUUGUUUUGUCUUUUUGUUGUAGAGUUGUAGUUUUUUAAUGUCUUGAUAUAAAUCUCUUACAAGAUACAUACUUCACAGUACAUUAUCUCAUUUUGUAAAUAAGUUAUUUCACUCUCUUAGUGAUGUUUUUAUUAUCUAAAGGUUUUAAUACUUUUUAAAACUUGUACUGUGAAUAUGAUAUGCCCUGUGAUUAACAAAUUUAUUUAUUACUUAAACAACUUAAUUUUUAAAAAUAAUUGCAUGAAUAUUUUUGUCCUAUUUGUUCCAUUCCUACUUCGUGAACACCAAUUAUCUGUUUGACAGAUUGUCAUUUUCCAUGCUUCAUACAAAUUCUUUUUUCUUCUGCAUUUUUUUCUUUCCAAUCUUUGUGAAUGUAUUUAAUUUUCUUGCCUUGAUAUUCUGACUAGAACCUCCAGUAUAAUUUAUUUAUU